This 298-nucleotide unclassified non-coding RNA is filed under the name Hevea brasiliensis (rubber tree). The record is from RNAcentral. Lineage: Eukaryota; Viridiplantae; Streptophyta; Magnoliopsida; Malpighiales; Euphorbiaceae.
CGUAUCACGUUGCUGUCACAAUGGCGCUCCAACGCUUCUUCAUUGAAACGCCCCAUCACCCGGUCCCAGGAUUGGCAAUCUACGAUCAACCCAGUCAGGUUUACUUCCCAAGAGGAUUUGCUUCUGCCGAAUAUGAAGAUCGACCCGGUCGUACUCGUGAUGAAGACAUCGCCGCUGUAAGAGCGGUGUUCGAAGCUUUGGGUCGAGAAGCUAUCCGGGCCAAAGGGCAACUUCAAGUAAUCGUCUUGGAUCAUGCCGGACCAGAUGUAUGGGGCGAAAUUGAAGGGGUCACGCUCGC